Molecule: long non-coding RNA, 1323 nt
Organism: Oncorhynchus keta (chum salmon)
Lineage: Eukaryota; Metazoa; Chordata; Actinopteri; Salmoniformes; Salmonidae
Exons: 3
Source: RefSeq, a predicted model, not a curated record
UACGUAAUUGGGUGUGCUUUUGUGUAACUGGUUUGGUAACAGCAGAUCGACUGUACUACUAAAAGACAUCGUUCAAGCAGCAAGACAUUCAUCUAUCUAUCUGACGACAAAAACAUCAAUUUUCUGAGGAGAAAGAAGAACAGACUCUCGCGCCAUGGUUUGACUGCUGAUCAAAGCCAGCAUCUGGACGGUGAGGAAGAUUCGGGCCCACAUUGCUGAGGGAGAGCAAGAGGAGAAGCCCAUCUUCACACCAUGUGGUGUUAUUGGCUUUAAGAAGGAGCAGUUGACAUCAGGUUCUGAUCCACCGGCGGCCGUAAUGACCCCUGAACCUGAUGAUGGUAUCGCUAACGGCGGCCCGGCGGCGUCGUCAGAGACAGCCGUGCAGAAGUGCGGAUCCUGAGGUUAAAGGUCACACUGGAUAACUGGUUGGGACCAAUAAAUUAUUAUUAAGCAUGUCUUGAAAAGGAUGCAUUCACAGAACUGUAUGUCGGCAGACGCAGUCUCCUUGUUCCUCGCUCUCAGACGCAGUCCCCUUGUUCCUCGCUCCCAGACGCAGUCUCAUUGUUCGAAAAACUUUUGUACGUUAAAUUCUACUUCCUACUUCCCUGAUCUGGACUGUCUAUAAACAACAUUCACAUACAUUAUUCUGAUAAGUCUUCCUUUCUUCAAAAGUUUGGAUUAUGUUUGUAUUACUAGAUAUAACUGCAUUGUUAGAGCUAGAAACAUAAGAAUUUUGCUGCACCUGCAAAUCUGUACGCGACCAAUAAACUUAAACUUUUUUGUAUAGCCCAACAUGCUCUUAACUUUGCUAUCCUUAAUCAAAGGAUUCCCAUAGAAAAUGUCACUACAACCAUAAUGAUGACUAGUUUUGAGACCAAAUUAUGACAUAAGUCAUUCCAUUUAAUUUACGUUGUGUAGGUUUCUGAACCCAAGUAUGCUAAUACGAUAUCGCAAUAAAAAGUAGGUUAUUUACUGAUCUAUAGAAGAUAGUCUUUAACAGCCCUCCAACUGGAAAAAUGUUUGUUGUCAUGCCCUUGCUGUCCCAGCCUCUGUCCAGUGUGCCCAUACUCAGUGGACCAAAUACUAAGCUGAGAUACUUGCUGUAAUUCCAACGUUCAGUCAGUGUGAAGUUAUGACAUUUUCAUAUACACUAAUCUCAGGUUAAUAUUGUGUCCAGUGAGCUCUGUUUAACCUCUGACACCAGAUGACCCUUUAUGGCUGCAGCGUGUGACGACCUGCUCACCAACCCCUCCACCCAGGGACUGAGCUGUUCUGAUGCCUCUGCUGCAGCUUCCCUAAUAAAAACUUCAACUAUCUGGUCAA